Molecule: ribosomal RNA, 468 nt
Filed under: uncultured bacterium
Lineage: Bacteria
Description: partial 16S ribosomal RNA
Rfam family: Bacterial small subunit ribosomal RNA
Source: RNAcentral
GACGAACGCUGGCGGCGUGCUUAACACAUGCAAGUCGAACGGAAAGGCCCUGCUUUUGUGGGGUGCUCGAGUGGCGAACGGGUGAGUAACAUGUGAGUAACCUGCCCUUGACUUUGGGAUAACUUCAGGAAACUGGGGCUAAUACCGGAUAGGAGCUACUGCUGCAUGGUGGGGGUUGGAAAGUUUCGGCGGUUGGGGAUGGACUCGCGGCUUAUCGGCUUGUUGGUGGGGUAGUGGCUUACCAAGGCUUUGACGGGUAGCCGGCCUGAGAGGGUGACCGGCCACAUUGGGACUGAGAUACGGCCCAGACUCCUACGGGAGGCAGCAGUGGGGAAUAUGGCACAAUGGGCGGAAGCCUGAUGCAGCAACGCCGCGUGCGGGAUGACGUCCUUCGGGUUGUAAACCGCUUUCGCCUGUGACGAAGCGUGAGUGACGGUAAUGGGUAAAGAAGCACCGGCUAACUACGUG